This is a long non-coding RNA of Bactrocera neohumeralis, 262 nucleotides long. RefSeq lists it as uncharacterized. The transcript has 3 exons. Lineage: Eukaryota; Metazoa; Arthropoda; Insecta; Diptera; Tephritidae. The record is from RefSeq and is a predicted model, not a curated record.
CCGCGGCAUUUAUCACGGCGUGACGCGCACGUGAGUUCAUUUAUAUCAUGUCGUUGAAAUAAUUACAAAAGCUUUUUGAGUGUAACGAUAGAGUAUUUAAUAUCUGCAUACAUACAAACAAACGUUAAUGUUUAUAGUCACUGAUGGGUGUCACAUUGGCAGCGAGUAUAUUUGGGAACCACCAUCCAAGAGUGACUCAUCCCAUGAGUAAUGAGAACAAAAAAAAAUAGACAACAUGAACAGCCGCUAUCACCAUGACCAG